UGGACUUGAAGAGAUAGUUAUGAAUUUAGAAUAUCAUCAAGUGACUUUUAAUAAGGCACUGUUUUCAGUGGAUGAACCGACAUCAUGCAGUGUGACAGGAAAACGCCCGUGAGACCAAAGAUGGCUUAGAUAAAAGGGAAGACGAUGCAGAAGCCUCUGUACCAGAGAAAAAUCCAGAGAUGGCCCUCAAAGAAGUUAGAAACAAGAUGAGAGACCGUCUUAAGUUGUUUAGGUCUGGAGCCACCUUCCCCCACCCACGAGUCGAAGAAAUAGAUCUUUGAACCACUCCAGGUUACCCGUGACAUCAAGAUAAACAAAA
Molecule: long non-coding RNA, 319 nt
Organism: Ostrea edulis (European flat oyster)
Lineage: Eukaryota; Metazoa; Mollusca; Bivalvia; Ostreida; Ostreidae
Exons: 2
Source: RefSeq, a predicted model, not a curated record